GUUUCCGUGGUGUAGUGGUUAUCACGUCCGCUUAACAUGCGGAAGGUCGCAGGUUCGGUCCCUGCCGGAAACA
This 73-nucleotide transfer RNA is filed under the name Desmophyllum pertusum. RNAcentral's name for it is "tRNA-Val". Lineage: Eukaryota; Metazoa; Cnidaria; Anthozoa; Scleractinia; Caryophylliidae. The record is from RNAcentral.